GUGGAAGAUGUACAAAAGAUGGAGGUUGAAGCAAUAGCAUGCUUCAGGAAGCUGGACAGAAAGGCAUUUAUGCUCCAGGAAGCUGGAAAGAAAGGCAUUAAUGCUUCAGGAAGCUGGAAAGAAAGGCAUUAAUGCUUCAGGAAGCUGGAAAGAAAGGCAUUAAUGCUUCAGGAAGCUGGAAAGAAAGGCAUUAAUGCUUCAGGAAGCUGGAAAAGAAAGGCAUUUAUGCUCCAGGAAGCUGGAAAGAAAGGCAUUCAUGCUUCAGGAAGCUGGAAAAGAAAGGCAUUUAUGCUCCAGGAAGCUGGAAAGAAAAGCAUUAAUGCUUCAGAAGGUGGAAAGAGAGGCAUUGAUGCUCCAGGAAGCUAGAAAGAAAGGCAUUUUCUGCUUCAGGAAGCUGGAAAGAAAGGCAUUUAUGC
Long non-coding RNA from Macrobrachium nipponense, 416 nucleotides. RefSeq lists it as uncharacterized. Lineage: Eukaryota; Metazoa; Arthropoda; Malacostraca; Decapoda; Palaemonidae. The transcript is spliced from 3 exons. The record is from RefSeq and is a predicted model, not a curated record.